ACGGAAGGCAGCAGUGGGGAAUUUUGCGCAAUGGGGGGAACCCUGACGCAGCAACGCCGCGUGCGGGAUGAAGGCCUUCGGGUUGUAAACCGCUUUCAGCAGGGACGAUUAUGACGGUACCUGCAGAAGAAGCUCCGGCUAACUACGUGCCAGCAGCCGCGGUAAUACGUAGGGAGCGAGCGUUAUCCGGAUUCAUUGGGCGUAAAGCGCGCGUAGGCGGCUUGCUAAGCGGAACCUCUAAUCCGAGGGCUCAACCCCCGGCCGGGUUCCGAACUGGCAGGCUCGAGUGCGGUAGGGGCAAGUGGAAUUCCAUGUGUAGCGGUGGAAUGCGCAGAUAUAUGGAAGAACACCGAUGGCGAAGGCAGCUUGCUGGGACGACACUGACGCUGAGGUGCGAAAGCGUGGGGAGCGAACAGGAUUAGAUACCCUGGUA
This 433-nucleotide ribosomal RNA is filed under the name uncultured Gordonibacter sp. RNAcentral's name for it is "partial 16S ribosomal RNA". It matches the Rfam family "Bacterial small subunit ribosomal RNA", at positions 341 to 792 of the family's 1533-position model. Lineage: Bacteria; Bacillati; Actinomycetota; Coriobacteriia; Eggerthellales; Eggerthellaceae. The record is from RNAcentral.